UCCCCUGUAGCUCAAUUGGCAGAGCGCCGAGCUGUUAACUCGGAGGUUUUGGAGGUUCGAGCCCUCCCGGGGGAG
This 75-nucleotide transfer RNA is filed under the name Curtobacterium sp. MCBD17_040. It matches the Rfam family "tRNA". From Rfam's summary of the family: Transfer RNA (tRNA) molecules are approximately 80 nucleotides in length. Their secondary structure includes four short double-helical elements and three loops (D, anti-codon, and T loops). The record is from Rfam by way of RNAcentral. Lineage: Bacteria; Bacillati; Actinomycetota; Actinomycetes; Micrococcales; Microbacteriaceae.